GAUGAAGAACGCAGUGAAAUGCGAUAAGUAAUGCGAAUUGCAGAAUUCAGUGAAUCAUCGAAUCUUUGAACGCACAUUGCGCCCGCUAGUAUUCUGGCGGGCAUGCCUGUCUGAGCGUCAUUUCAACCCUCAUGCCCCUAGGGCGUGGUGUUGGGGAUCGGCCAAAGCCCGCGAGGGACGGCCGGCCCCUAAAUCUAGUGGCGGACCCGUCGUGGCCUCCUCUGCGAAGUAGUGAUAUUCCGCAUCGGAGAGCGAUGAGCCCCUGCCGUUAAACCCCCAACUUUCCAAGGUUGACCUCAGAUCAGGUAGGAAUACCCGCUGAACUUAAGCAUAUCAAUAAGCGGAGGA
Molecule: unclassified non-coding RNA, 348 nt
Filed under: soil metagenome
Description: partial contains 5.8S ribosomal RNA, internal transcribed spacer 2, and large subunit ribosomal RNA
Rfam family: 5.8S ribosomal RNA (bases 1-120)
Source: RNAcentral